RNAcentral lists this transfer RNA (75 nucleotides) under Xenopus tropicalis (tropical clawed frog). Its description in RNAcentral is "tRNA-Thr (AGT) (tRNA-Thr-AGT-67-1)". It matches the Rfam family "tRNA". From Rfam's summary of the family: Transfer RNA (tRNA) molecules are approximately 80 nucleotides in length. Their secondary structure includes four short double-helical elements and three loops (D, anti-codon, and T loops). Further hydrogen bonds mediate the characteristic L-shaped molecular structure. tRNAs have two regions of fundamental functional importance: the anti-codon, which is responsible for specific mRNA codon recognition, and the 3' end, to which the tRNAs corresponding amino acid is attached (by aminoacyl-tRNA synthetases). tRNAs cope with the degeneracy of the genetic code in two manners: having more than one tRNA (with a specific anti-codon) for a particular amino acid; and 'wobble' base-pairing, i.e. permitting non-standard base-pairing at the 3rd anti-codon position. Lineage: Eukaryota; Metazoa; Chordata; Amphibia; Anura; Pipidae. The record is from Rfam by way of RNAcentral.
GGCGCUGUGGCUUAGUUGGUUGAAACCCCCUGUCUAGUAAACAGGAGGUCCUGGGUUCGAAUCUCAGCAGUGCCA